This 683-nucleotide long non-coding RNA is filed under the name Helianthus annuus (common sunflower). Lineage: Eukaryota; Viridiplantae; Streptophyta; Magnoliopsida; Asterales; Asteraceae. The record is from RNAcentral.
UGCCUUUCCUUAGGGGGUGGGGGUGCUCCACUUUCCAUCACUAACCACACCCAAUCAUGGUCCGCCACGUCAUCAAACUUGGUUCCAUCACUAGUGAUGGAUUUUAGUGGGGGUGCUCAUCGCCGGUGAAAGGUCAUUGAAGAGCAUUCGGGUACUGCCAUGUUUGCACACCAUGCAAAUCUCAACAAACUUUCAACGCGUGGUCACGAGGACCGGCGGCGGUGUUCCACGCGUGGUCACCUACCCACUGAUUAAAUGAGCUCAAAUAAACAAAAGAAACAAAAAGGCAGCUAAAUCUAACACAAAUACAAGAAAAGGAACAAACGUGGCAUGCCCGGCCUCCCGAUAGCAUCUUCCCAAGCAAAACAAGGAAACAGAGGGCUGAACACGCCCCGUGCUCAAUGAGAACGGGGGCGUGCCCAAGUGUCAGCAGAAAAGACAAAGUUGUAGAAGCUUCCAUCGCCCCCCACGGGGCCGUGCUCAGCGGACACGGGACCGUGGUCAACUAUAAGAUUCACAGAAUCCAGACAAAUCUUGAUAGUACAGAUAUGCUUCUGCACACGAGGUCGUGCUCAGCGGACACGGGGGCGUGGUCAACUGAUGCAGACAAACUGCAUUUAAUGAAGAAAGAGAGGAGGGUGGACAUGGGGCCGUGCCCGAGCUUCUGUUCAGCCUAUAAAUAG